Molecule: ribosomal RNA, 616 nt
Filed under: uncultured Gammaproteobacteria bacterium
Lineage: Bacteria; Pseudomonadati; Pseudomonadota; Gammaproteobacteria
Description: bacterial SSU rRNA
Rfam family: Bacterial small subunit ribosomal RNA
Source: RNAcentral
AAAGAGCACCGGCUACUCCGUNCAGCAGCCGCGGUAAUACGGAGGGUGCCAGCGUUUAUCGGAAAUACUGGGCGUAAGGCGCGCGUAGGCGGCUGUUAAGUCGAAUGUGAAAUCCCCGGGCUCAACCUGGGAAUGGCAUCCGAUACUGACGAGCUGGAGUGCGAUAGAGGGGGGUAGAAUUCCUAGUGUAGCGGUGAAAUGCGUAGAUAUUAGGAGGAAUACCGGUGGCGAAGGCGGCCCCCUGGAUCGACACUGACGCUGAGGUGCGAAAGCGUGGGUAGCAAACAUGAUUAGAUACCCUGGUAGUCCACGCCGUAAACGAUGUCUACUAGCCGUUGGAGAUCUAGAAUCUUUAGUGGCGAAGCUAACGCGAUAAGUAGACCGCCUGGGGAGUACGGCCGCAAGGUUAAAACUCAAAUGAAUUGACGGGGGCCCGCACAAGCGGUGGAGCAUGUGGUUUAAUUCGACGCAACGCGAAGAACCUUACCUGGCCUUGACAUCCUGCGAACUUUCUAGAGAUAGAUUGGUGCCUUCGGGAGCGCAGAGACAGGUGCUGCUUGGCUGUCGUCAGCUCGUGUCGUGAGAUGUUGGGUUAAGUCCCGCAACGAGCAUCGAC